RNAcentral lists this unclassified non-coding RNA (299 nucleotides) under plant metagenome. RNAcentral's name for it is "partial contains 5.8S ribosomal RNA, internal transcribed spacer 2, and large subunit ribosomal RNA". The stretch from base 1 to 105 matches the Rfam family "5.8S ribosomal RNA", at positions 50 to 154 of the family's 154-position model. The record is from RNAcentral.
GAAAUGCGAUAAGUAAUGUGAAUUGCAGAAUUCAGUGAAUCAUCGAAUCUUUGAACGCACAUUGCGCUCGCCAGUAUUCUGGCGAGCAUGCCUGUUCGAGCGUCAUUUCAACCAUCAAGCUCUGCUUGCGUUGGGGAUCCGCGGCUGCCCGCGGUCCCUCAACAACAGUGGCGGGCUCGCUAGUCACACCGAGCGUAGUAACUCUACAUCGCUAUGGUCGUGCGGCGGGUUCUUGCCGUAAAACCCCCAAUUUCUAAGGUUGACCUCGGAUCAGGUAGGAAUACCCGCUGAACUUAAGC